This 28-nucleotide non-coding RNA is filed under the name Mus musculus (house mouse). Lineage: Eukaryota; Metazoa; Chordata; Mammalia; Rodentia; Muridae. The record is from RNAcentral.
CAAAGUGGAUCCGAGGGUAGAUGUACCU